AUUGAACGCUGGCGGCAGGCCUAACACAUGCAAGUCGGACGGUAGCACAGAGAGCUUGCUCUCGGGUGACGAGUGGCGGACGGGUGAGUAAUGUCUGGGGAUCUGCCCGAUAGAGGGGGAUAACCACUGGAAACGGUGGCUAAUACCGCAUAACGUCGCAAGACCAAAGAGGGGGACCUUCGGGCCUCUCACUAUCGGAUGACCCCAGAUGGGAUUAGCUAGGAGGCGGGGUAACGGCCCACCAGGGAGACGAUCCCUAGCUGGUCUGAGAGGAUGAGCAGCCACACUGGAACUGAGACACGGUCCAGACUCCUACGGGAGGCAGCAGUGGGGAAUAUUGCACAAUGGGCGCAAGCCUGAUGCAGCCAUGCCGCGUGUAUGAAGAAGGCCUUCGGGUUGUAAAGUACUUUCAGCGGGGAGGAAGGCGAUGUGGUUAAUAACCGUAUCGAUUGACGUUACCCGCAGAAGAAGCACCGGCUAACUCCGUGCCAGCCGCCGCGGUAA
This 504-nucleotide ribosomal RNA is filed under the name uncultured bacterium. RNAcentral's name for it is "partial 16S ribosomal RNA". It matches the Rfam family "Bacterial small subunit ribosomal RNA", at positions 29 to 523 of the family's 1533-position model. The record is from RNAcentral.